Molecule: long non-coding RNA, 785 nt
Filed under: Solanum tuberosum (potato)
Lineage: Eukaryota; Viridiplantae; Streptophyta; Magnoliopsida; Solanales; Solanaceae
Description: long non-coding RNA (STUB_LNC005048)
Source: RNAcentral
ACGUGCAAUCACAGCCCUUCAACUUCAUUAACUCCAAUUAAAUCUCGUACGUCUAGGUGUUAUAAUUCUAUUCGUCAUUUCUUUAUUCUUCACUUAGCUCAUUUAUUCAGGUCAUGACAUUCCCGCCCGGAUCAAACAAUCCUUGACCCCAAGGAUGAUUAUCAAAAAUUUGUCCCGUCCAGGUUCAUUACAAUCCUUCCUGCUUGAAAUCAACAUUGUCCUCAAGGUUGUUGUCCACACCCGCAUAUCAAAAACCAAAAUCAUCAGAUUAUUUCUCGCUAGAAUUCCUAAGGUAAUAUGCCUAUUUGCUGUGAACACUUCUCUCGCAAAAGCUUCAAUUAAAGACUUGGAUUGAUUGACCUUUGCUAUCAUUGUGUCCCUUAUAUCACGAAGCAAAGAUAGGCUAGUACUUUUUCUCAGUAUUGUUUCCAUUUUAGUCUGCAGCUCCGCUAUUCUGUCAAAGAGCUUUUCAGCCUCUGUUGUAGAGAUGUGGAGCUGCUUUUGGAGGUCAACGCUUCCAAGACAACCCAGUGGAAUUUCAGUGCGACAUGGUGCAAAUAAGCCCACAAAUAUUUGACCCUCAGAAUGUACAUGAAUAUGCUUUUUGGAAUUUUCCGCAAAUGGCAAGGAAAACACACAUUUUGCAAUAUUUGAUAGGCAUAAAUGUUCUCAAAGUAUCUCAAAAUCAUUCCAGUGGCACAAAGAAAAAGCAUUAUAAGCUGAUAGUAAAAUUCCUGUUGUAUACUUGGGAAUACCAGAUGUAGAAAUGACCAAGUUGUGCUCAG